This 402-nucleotide ribosomal RNA is filed under the name uncultured bacterium. RNAcentral describes it as "bacterial SSU rRNA". It matches the Rfam family "Bacterial small subunit ribosomal RNA", at positions 355 to 774 of the family's 1533-position model. The record is from RNAcentral.
UCGGGAAUUUUGGGCAAUGGGCGAAAGCCUGACCCAGCAACGCCGCGUGAGGGAUGAAGUAUUUCGGCAUGUAAACCUCGAAAGAAUGGGAAGAAUAAAUGACGGUACCAUUUAUAAGCUCCGGCUAACUACGUGCCAGCAGCCGCGGUAAUACGUAGGGAGCAAGCGUUGUUCGGAUUUACUGGGCGUAAAGGGCGCGUAGGCGGCGCGGUAAGCCACUUGUGAAAUCUCUGAGCUUAACUCAGAACGGCCAAGUGAUACUGCUGUGCUAGAGUGCGGAAGAGGCAACCGGAAUUCUUGGUGUAGCGGUGAAAUGCGUAGAUAUCAAGAGGAACACCUGAGGCGAAGGCGGGUUGCUGGGCCGACACUGACGCUGAUGCGCGAAAGCCAGGGGAGCAAACG